This 800-nucleotide ribosomal RNA is filed under the name Escherichia coli. Its description in RNAcentral is "partial 23S ribosomal RNA". It matches the Rfam family "Bacterial large subunit ribosomal RNA", at positions 2131 to 2925 of the family's 2925-position model. Lineage: Bacteria; Pseudomonadati; Pseudomonadota; Gammaproteobacteria; Enterobacterales; Enterobacteriaceae. The record is from RNAcentral.
UUGAUGUGUAGGAUAGGUGGGAGGCUUAGAAGUGUGGACGCCAGUCUGCAUGGAGCCGACCUUGAAAUACCACCCUUUAAUGUUUGAUGUUCUAACGUUGACCCGUAAUCCGGGUUGCGGACAGUGUCUGGUGGGUAGUUUGACUGGGGCGGUCUCCUCCUAAAGAGUAACGGAGGAGCACGAAGGUUGGCUAAUCCUGGUCGGACAUCAGGAGGUUAGUGCAAUGGCAUAAGCCAGCUUGACUGCGAGCGUGACGGCGCGAGCAGGUGCGAAAGCAGGUCAUAGUGAUCCGGUGGUUCUGAAUGGAAGGGCCAUCGCUCAACGGAUAAAAGGUACUCCGGGGAUAACAGGCUGAUACCGCCCAAGAGUUCAUAUCGACGGCGGUGUUUGGCACCUCGAUGUCGGCUCAUCACAUCCUGGGGCUGAAGUAGGUCCCAAGGGUAUGGCUGUUCGCCAUUUAAAGUGGUACGCGAGCUGGGUUUAGAACGUCGUGAGACAGUUCGGUCCCUAUCUGCCGUGGGCGCUGGAGAACUGAGGGGGGCUGCUCCUAGUACGAGAGGACCGGAGUGGACGCAUCACUGGUGUUCGGGUUGUCAUGCCAAUGGCACUGCCCGGUAGCUAAAUGCGGAAGAGAUAAGUGCUGAAAGCAUCUAAGCACGAAACUUGCCCCGAGAUGAGUUCUCCCUGACCCUUUAAGGGUCCUGAAGGAACGUUGAAGACGACGACGUUGAUAGGCCGGGUGUGUAAGCGCAGCGAUGCGUUGAGCUAACCGGUACUAAUGAACCGUGAGGCUUAACCUU